GAGUGACAGCAUAUUAUGCAGGUAAAAUAUCACACCCUCAGAUAACAUCAGAAAUAACCCGGAGUAACUGAAAUCUGCAAUUACGGUUGCCAUGGCAAAAUAAAUACAACGAAACACUUCCUCUUUCUCUCUCUCCCUCUCCCAGUAUCCGCACACAGCCCUCCGCCCACCUCGCAGAGAGCCCACCGAUACAGAGACAUGUCAACGCGCCGAAGCUCCUCCGAUCAGCACAUUCCAACGGCACAUGCGAACGAGAUGUCGGCAUAUCACAUACAGCCUCAUCAUCUCACGUUCCCGUCUUCGGGGAGCUGUGGGGCGGGCUUGGAGGAAGGGAACCGUACGAAAGCGGGUCGCGGGGUGCCAGGGAUGAAAUUGAAUUGUAAGACGAGAAUGGAGAUGGUGGUGGAUCAAAGAA
Strongylocentrotus purpuratus (purple sea urchin) is the source of this 415-nucleotide long non-coding RNA. RefSeq lists it as uncharacterized. The record is from RefSeq and is a predicted model, not a curated record. Lineage: Eukaryota; Metazoa; Echinodermata; Echinoidea; Camarodonta; Strongylocentrotidae. The transcript is spliced from 2 exons.